RNAcentral lists this ribosomal RNA (413 nucleotides) under uncultured microorganism. RNAcentral's name for it is "bacterial SSU rRNA". It matches the Rfam family "Bacterial small subunit ribosomal RNA", at positions 9 to 429 of the family's 1533-position model. The record is from RNAcentral.
GAGUUUGAUCAUGGCUCAGAUUGAACGCUGGCGGCAUGCCUUACACAUGCAAGUCGAACGGUAACAGGUCUUCGGAUGCUGACGAGUGGCGAACGGGUGAGUAAUACAUCGGAACGUGCCCGAUCGUGGGGGAUAACGGAGCGAAAGCUUUGCUAAUACCGCAUACGAUCUACGGAUGAAAGCAGGGGACCGCAAGGCCUUGCGCGGACGGAGCGGCCGAUGGCAGAUUAGGUAGUUGGUGGGAUAAAAGCUUACCAAGCCGACGAUCUGUAGCUGGUCUGAGAGGACGACCAGCCACACUGGGACUGAGACACGGCCCAGACUCCUACGGGAGGCAGCAGUGGGAAUUUUGGACAAUGGGCGAAAGCCUGAUCCAGCCAUGCCGCGUGCAGGAUGAAGGCCUCGGUUGUAAC